RNAcentral lists this transfer RNA (78 nucleotides) under Serpentinicella alkaliphila. RNAcentral describes it as "tRNA-Pro". It matches the Rfam family "tRNA". Rfam says of the family: Transfer RNA (tRNA) molecules are approximately 80 nucleotides in length. The record is from RNAcentral. Lineage: Bacteria; Bacillati; Bacillota; Clostridia; Peptostreptococcales; Natronincolaceae.
CCGGGUGUAGCGCAGUUUGGUAGCGCACAUGGUUUGGGGACCAUGGGGUCGGGAGUUCGAAUCUCUCCACCCGGACCA